GAUGAACGCUAGCGAUAGGCUUAACACAUGCAAGUCGAGGGGCAGCAUGGUCUUAGCUUGCUAAGACUGAUGGCGACCGGCGCACGGGUGCGUAACGCGCAUGCAACUUGCCUCACAGAGGGGGAUAACCCGUCGAAAGACGGACUAAUACCGCGUACACUUGGGAUAGGGCAUCCUGACCCAAGGAAAUGAAAUUCGCUGUGAGAUAGGCAUGCGUCCCAUUAGCUAGUUGGUGAGGUAACGGCUCACCAAGGCGACGAUGGGUAGGGGAACUGAGAGGUUGAACCCCCACACUGGUACUGAGACACGGACCAGACUCCUACGGGAGGCAGCAGUGAGGAAUAUUGGUCGAUGGGCGAGAGCCUGAACCAGCCAAGUCGCGUGAAGGAUGACUGUCUUAUGGAUUGUAAACUUCUUUUAUACGGGAAUAACAAGAGCCACGUGUGGCUCCCUGCAUGUACCGUAUGAAUAAGCAUCGGCUAACUCCGUG
Molecule: ribosomal RNA, 490 nt
Filed under: uncultured bacterium
Lineage: Bacteria
Description: partial 16S ribosomal RNA
Rfam family: Bacterial small subunit ribosomal RNA
Source: RNAcentral